AGGGGAAAUAUCUGCAUCCCUACAUCUUUUGAUUUCUAUUUUAUUGUGAUAAGAAUACUUAACAUGAGACCUACCCUCGUAACAGAUUUUUAAGUGUACAAUACCGUAUUUUUAACUAUAGACACAAUGUUGUACAGCAUAUCUCUGUUAAUUUAGCACUACUGAAACCUUAUACCUGUUAACUAGCACCUCCCCAUUUUACUAAUCUCUCUUUAUCUACUAGGCUGGAUAAGCACUAUGAAAACUUCUGAUUGAUGAUGGAAUUGUCUCUGCAAUAGUCAGAUAAUGACCUGAAUUUCUGAGAUUCCCAAAAGAUUUUUCUGGGAACAACAUCGCAGAAAUUGGCUGUAAAGUAGUACAGUCAGGAGAUCAAGACCAUCCUGGUUACCACAGUGAAACCCCGUCUCUACUGAAAAUACAAAAAAUUUACCGGGUGUGGUGGCAUGCGCCUGUAAUUCCAGUUGCUCAGGAGGCUGAGGCAGGAGAAUCACUUGAACCUGGGAGGCAGAAGUUGUAGUGAGCCAAGAUCACGCCAUUGCACUCCAGCCUGGGUGGCAGAGUGAGACAUCAUCUCAAAAACAAAAAACAAUAAAGUAGUACAGUCCAGAUGAGGAGUUGACAAACCAUACCUUGCAGGCCAAAUACUGCCCAUCACGUGUUUUGGGAUGGUCCAUGACUGUGAGGUAAGAACAGUUUUUACACUUUUUCUU
Molecule: long non-coding RNA, 710 nt
Filed under: Macaca mulatta (Rhesus monkey)
Lineage: Eukaryota; Metazoa; Chordata; Mammalia; Primates; Cercopithecidae
Description: lncRNA (ENSMMUG00000062075.1)
Source: RNAcentral